Molecule: non-coding RNA, 73 nt
Organism: Vidua chalybeata
Lineage: Eukaryota; Metazoa; Chordata; Aves; Passeriformes; Viduidae
Source: the annotation of a RefSeq genome assembly
GCCCUCUUAGCGCAGUAAGCAGCGCGUCAGUCUCAUAUUCUGAAGGUCCUGAGUUUGAGCCUCAGAGAGGGCA